CCUACGGGAGGCAGCAGUGGGGAAUAUUGGACAAUGGGGGCAACCCUGAUCCAGCAAUGCCGCGUGAGUGAUGAAGGCCUUAGGGUUGUAAAGCUCUUUUACCAGGGAUGAUAAUGACAGUACCUGGAGAAUAAGCUCCGGCUAACUCCGUGCCAGCAGCCGCGGUAAUACGGAGGGAGCUAGCGUUGUUCGGAAUUACUGGGCGUAAAGCGCACGUAGGCGGUUACUCAAGUCAGAGGUGAAAGCCCGGGGCUCAACCCCGGAACUGCCUUUGAAACUAGGUAACUAGAAUCCUGGAGAGGUGAGUGGAAUUCCGAGUGUAGAGGUGAAAUUCGUAGAUAUUCGGAAGAACACCAGUGGCGAAGGCGGCUCACUGGACAGGUAUUGACGCUGAGGUGCGAAAGCGUGGGGAGCAAACAGGAUUAGAUACCCGUGGUAGUCCACGCCGUAAACGAUGAUAACUAGCUGUCCGGGCACAUGGUGUUUGGGUGGCGCAGCUAACGCAUUAAGUUAUCCGCCGUGGGGAGUACGGUCGCGAAGAUUAAACNCAAAUGAAUUGACGG
RNAcentral lists this ribosomal RNA (563 nucleotides) under uncultured bacterium. RNAcentral describes it as "bacterial SSU rRNA". It matches the Rfam family "Bacterial small subunit ribosomal RNA", at positions 338 to 916 of the family's 1533-position model. The record is from RNAcentral.